This 144-nucleotide non-coding RNA is filed under the name Thiopseudomonas alkaliphila. The record is from RNAcentral. Lineage: Bacteria; Pseudomonadati; Pseudomonadota; Gammaproteobacteria; Pseudomonadales; Pseudomonadaceae.
GCCUGCGCCAGGUUUUCAGGUGUUGCCUAAAUUCGGUGUUGGGCAAUGAAACUGGGAAGCUGGUGCAAAUCCAGCACUGCCCCCGCAACGGUAACUAAGCCUCGCUUUAGUAGUCCGGAGACCGGCCUGUUAACACACCAAACG